CAGGGUCAGCCCAGGCUACAUAGUGAAUUCCAGCUGCUGUGGCUGAAGGCUACCGUAUUAGACAGCUCAAGCGUGGACCCUCGGCCACCCAAGGUCCAUCCCUGAGGAGCUCAAAGCCCUGCAGGGCACAGGGGCAGGUCUCAGCUCAGCCAUGGCCUCCUCCAGGAAGCCCUGCCAGCCUACCAGGCCCAGUAGGCAAACACUGGGCAGCUCCUGGCCGCUGCGAUGACCCCUCUGCCUCAGGAUCCUGAGCCCCCUAAGGACCGAGAGCCAGCAGGAGGGCUGUGCCAUGCGAACGGGCAUGGGGAACGUAUGCUAGAAUGGGUGAUUGGAUGCUUUUGAAAAAACUAAGAAGCCAGGUGUAGCGGUGCAGCCUGUAAUCCCAGCACUCUGGGAGGCUGAGG
Molecule: long non-coding RNA, 404 nt
Organism: Fukomys damarensis (Damara mole-rat)
Lineage: Eukaryota; Metazoa; Chordata; Mammalia; Rodentia; Bathyergidae
Exons: 3
Source: RefSeq, a predicted model, not a curated record